GCGACGUGGGGGGAUUUUGCGUGUUUUUUGUUGGUGUCGUUGGUUUUUUUAAUUGCUUUCCACUUUUCCCCGCUCCUGCGCGGCAGCCGAGCUAUGAAAAUAAGGUUGUGAGGAGGUCGAGCUGGAGUACUUUAAAGGUGUUGAAGCAGUCCUUUACAUCGCUGUCUGUGCUGUAACUACUUUUUUUUUGUUUUUCAGUGAUCUUAGUGAAACGCGAAAGUGUUUUGUGCCAUGGACUGGUCCGAAUAACGUAAGAACGUAAUGCUCAUGACAGAAAGCUCACUCAGGUUGAAUGGUCACUCUAAAAUCAGUAUAUCCAUGCACAGACAUCCUCGUUCCUGGCAAAGAAGUCUCUUGUGAGGGAAGAAGCUUGCCCAGUGCCUGGCUUUCCAUAUCCAGGAUGGAAAGUGUUACGUGUCAUAUCACCUUUCAUCCCUAAAGGAACAUGCAAGUUGGAUACUGCCUAAGUUCUUUUCCUGCACCAUUUGCAGUCCACUUAAUGAAGGGAAAAAAAUGCCCCUUUUCUUUAAUAUACUAAAGGAAACAGGGCAACAACUUCAUUUAAAAUCACUGAUAUUUAUAAGUUUUCAGAAGAAGUAACCUAGAAACUCAUUAGUUUGGACAAGCUACCAGGCAGGGGAAUGACACUGACUUUGAUGGUCAGUCUGAGUUGUCUCCCUGCUCUGAACCAAAAAAACCUUCAGUUGUAAAAAAAAUGUGUUUUUACUAUAGUUUUCAUUUCUCAUACUUGUUCCCAUGCUUAACUGUUCUAUUUCACAAACAGAGCAUGAGACAGUGUGAGGACAAGACUUCCACACAGACAGCUCUUUAAUGAAAAAGGUAUGUGGACUUCCCUUCAACCUAGCUAGCCCACAAGAACCGCUUCUUACAAAAGUUAUUUUUCUGCAGCAGGCUUUCAGGGGACUUCAAAUGGAUCUAUAAAACAGGGCAGAAGCACUUUUAGAAGCCAGUAGAGAAUGCCAUAGUAGCUGGUACUGUGCUUUUUAGAUGACAAGGCUUCUUUUAAGUUUGGAGCAUUUAAGAAAAGCAGCCCAAGUUAUUGAUGUGUACCACCUCCAAGGUGCUAUCGAGAUUCUUAUCUAAAUAGUGCUGGUGUUAUAGCAACAUUUGUCAAUUUCAAAUUGUUUUCACUUCUCCGAAUACAAGAUAUCUCUCUUUUAUCUGUAGACUAACACUGAGGCAUUUUCCAAGUUAUUAUCUCUCCCUUUUCUCCAGAAACAUCCACGUCUUUUUGAAAAUGCACUGCAGUUGUCUUGUGUAGUACUAUGUCUGCAUGCUCCAUUUCCCAGUGCUAUCGAAUAAAGUUCUCAUCCCAUUAUGUGGUGAGUUCCAUCAGC
Molecule: long non-coding RNA, 1358 nt
Organism: Dromaius novaehollandiae (emu)
Lineage: Eukaryota; Metazoa; Chordata; Aves; Casuariiformes; Dromaiidae
Exons: 2
Source: RefSeq, a predicted model, not a curated record